GAUGAAGAACGUAGCGAAAUGCGAUAAGUAAUGUGAAUUGCAGAAUUCAGUGAAUCAUCGAAUCUUUGAACGCACCUUGCACCCUUUGGCUAUUCCGAAGGGUAUGCCUGUUUGAGUAUCAUGAACACCUCAACUCUCAUGGUUUGCCAUGAUGAGCUUGGACUUUGGGGGUCUUGCUGGCCUGUGGUCAGCUCCUCUCAAAUGGAUUAGCUUGCCAGUGUUUGGUGGCAUCACAGGUGUGAUAACUAUCUACGCUUGUGGUUUUCCACCAGGUAACCUUCAGCAAUGGGGGUUCGCUGGGGCUCAUAAAUGUCUCUCCUCAGUGAGGACAGCUCUUUGAACGUUUGAUCUCAAAUCAGGUAGGACUACCUGCUGAACUUAAGCAUAUCAAUAAGCGGAGGA
Molecule: unclassified non-coding RNA, 402 nt
Filed under: soil metagenome
Description: partial contains 5.8S ribosomal RNA, internal transcribed spacer 2, and large subunit ribosomal RNA
Rfam family: 5.8S ribosomal RNA (bases 1-121)
Source: RNAcentral